AGUGAACGCUGGCGGUAGGCCUAACACAUGCAAGUCGAACGGCAGCACAGUAAGAGCUUGCUCUUACGGGUGGCGAGUGGCGGACGGGUGAGGAAUACAUCGGAAUCUACUUUUUCGUGGGGGAUAACGUAGGGAAACUUACGCUAAUACCGCAUACGACCUACGGGUGAAAGCAGUGGAUCUUCGGACCUUGCGCGAUUGAAUGAGCCGAUGUCGGAUUAGCUAGUUGGCGGGGUAAAGGCCCACCAAGGCGACGAUCCGUAGCUGGUCUGAGAGGAUGAUCAGCCACACUGGAACUGAGACACGGUCCAGACUCCUACGGGAGGCAGCAGUGGGGAAUAUUGGACAAUGGGGGCAAGCCUGAUCCAGCCAUACCGCGUGGGUGAAGAAGGCCUUCGGGUUGUAAAGCCCUUUUGUUGGGAAAGAAAAGCAGCAGGUUAAUACCCCGCUGUUCUGACGGUACCCAAAGAAUAAGCACCGGCUAACUUCGUG
This 492-nucleotide ribosomal RNA is filed under the name uncultured bacterium. RNAcentral describes it as "partial 16S ribosomal RNA". It matches the Rfam family "Bacterial small subunit ribosomal RNA", at positions 29 to 507 of the family's 1533-position model. The record is from RNAcentral.